GGCGAAUCAACUCUGUACAAUUGAAAUGGAUGAGACAUUGUACAGAGG
Molecule: regulatory RNA element, 48 nt
Organism: Lachnospiraceae bacterium 3_1_57FAA_CT1
Lineage: Bacteria; Bacillati; Bacillota; Clostridia; Lachnospirales; Lachnospiraceae
Rfam family: uup RNA
Source: Rfam